RNAcentral lists this long non-coding RNA (1992 nucleotides) under Pelobates cultripes (western spadefoot toad). The record is from RNAcentral. Lineage: Eukaryota; Metazoa; Chordata; Amphibia; Anura; Pelobatidae.
AUUUUUUUAAAGUGAAUUAUAUGACAUGAUACAAAUAAUGGUAUGUAAAGAAAACCCUAUUUGUCCUGAAAAAAAACAAUAUAUAAUUUGUAUGGGAACAGUAAAUGAGAGAGAGGGAAAUUACAGCUAAACAUAAACACCACAAAAGUGUUUAUACAGCCCUGGUCCUUAACGUACAACAUGGCUAAAACAGGCCGGUCCUGAAGGGGUUAAUCCUGCAGAGUCUGUUCACUCCAUGCCAAACAGUUAAAUGUUCUUCAUUUGUCAGUUCUGCAGUUUCAACAAAGCAUUCAGCUAUUCACAAACGGACAAACUGCAACCAAAUGGCUUUCAUUUGGUUUUCCAGUUUGCCAGAUACAAACCGGGUGGAAAUGCAACUAAAACUCUAACAGUGUUAUUCACCAAACUCCAAAUUUUCCCAAAUUAAAUGCUAAUGGCAAAACUCAAGGCAAAAAAAGCCAACUUGUGACAAUAACUUUACUGUAAAUCGUCCUAAUGCUCAGUCAUAUUAAUGCUUACCCCAAACUCUCCUUAAAGGGACAGUCCAGGCCCGGGGACUAUUAACCCUAUAGUGCCAGGAAAACAGCUUUGUCUGCCCAUUGUCUACAUGGAUUAUUCUAUUGUGUGUUAGUUUCCGGGUCUGACUGCCACCCUUUCCAGUGUCUGUAUUAACCAGAGAAAAAGUUAUCUGCGCUCCCUCCCAAAUCCCUGUGCCUAUUGAAAUAAAUGGAGGUCAUUUAGUAACUCCAAUGGCCACGUCAAGGCAAACCUCUUAGGUGGGUCCUACACUGACUGUUCAGCUUCAGGUAAAGCAAUCUCUGAGAUAGAGAGGGGUAUUUUUCUAAACCCACACAGUCUGUAUUGGUGCUUCCAUUUACUGAAGUUUUUACUCUGGACUGCCCUGCAGAAUUAUUAUCCUCUCUAUUUGUGGACUUUAUUGGGCUGGUAAGAAUACAGUUUCACAUUUUAUCACGCAAAUUUUUCAUGAUCAUCACAAUGCUCUUACAACAGAUUAGUGAAAUACACUUUAGUUUGUUACCACUAUUUAAUUUGCUCUCAUGUUGGAAUUAGUGUAAAACCCCCAAUAUUGGGGUACAGUGACUUAGUAGUGGUGGGCUGAAUACAAUAUGGCUACAUGCUGGUACUGAAUCCCCAUAUUUGUUUGCUAAGAUUUAAGGAAUACUUCUAAAAUGUAAAACUAAUUGUAUGUGUGCGCUGUAACUGUAUCUGUAUAUUGUAUGUGCGCUGUAACUGUAUCUGUGCGCUGUAACUGCAUAUUGUAUGUGUGCGCUGUAACUGUGCGCUGUAUAUUGUAUGUGUGCGCUGUAACUGUAUGUGUGCGCUGUAACUGUAUAUUGUAUGUGUGCGCUGUAACUAUCUGUGCGCUGUAACUGUAUAUUGUAUGUGUGCGCUGUAACUGUAUCUGUGCGCUGUAACUGUAUCUGUAUAUUGUAUGUGUGCGCUGUAACUGUAUCUGUGCGCUGUAACUGUAUAUGUAUAUUGUAUGUGUAAGCUGUAACUGUAUCUGUAUAUUGUAUGUGCGCUGUAACUGUAUCUGUGCGCUGUAACUGUAUAUUGUAUGUGUGCGCUGUAACUGUAUCUGUAUAUUGUAUGUGUGCGCUGUAACUGUAUAUUGUAUGUGUGCGCUGUAACUGUAUCUGUGCGCUGUAACUGUAUCUGUAUAUUGUAUGUGUGCGCUGUAACUGUAUCUGUGCGCUGUAACUGUAUAUGUAUAUUGUAUGUGUAAGCUGUAACUGUAUCUGUAUAUUGUAUGUGCGCUGUAACUGUAUCUGUGCGCUGUAACUGUAUAUUGUAUGUGUGCGCUGUAACUGUAUCUGUAUAUUGUAUGUGUGCGCUGUAACUGUAUAUUGUAUGUGUGCGCUGUAACUGUAUCUGUGCGCUGUAACUGUAUCUGUAUAUUGUAUGUGUGAGCUGUAACUGUAUCUGUAUAUUGUAUGUGUAAGCUGUAACUGUAUAUUGUAUGUGUGCGCU